UGCAGCCAUGUCAAAUUCAGUGCUCACCUGUGCUGUGGUGGGGGCUGGCCCAGCGGCUGCUACAAAAAACAUGUGGUUCAUGGGCUCCAGAUCUGUGCUGUUGGAUCUGGGGAUAAAAGCAUGCCGCAGACAAAU
RNAcentral lists this small nucleolar RNA (135 nucleotides) under Pogona vitticeps (central bearded dragon). RNAcentral describes it as "Small nucleolar RNA SNORA5 (ENSPVIG00000016087.1)". It matches the Rfam family "Small nucleolar RNA SNORA5". Rfam says of the family: ACA5 is a member of the H/ACA class of snoRNA that guide the sites of modification of uridines to pseudouridines. Lineage: Eukaryota; Metazoa; Chordata; Lepidosauria; Squamata; Agamidae. The record is from Rfam by way of RNAcentral.